This 450-nucleotide ribosomal RNA is filed under the name uncultured bacterium. Its description in RNAcentral is "partial 16S ribosomal RNA". It matches the Rfam family "Bacterial small subunit ribosomal RNA", at positions 354 to 796 of the family's 1533-position model. The record is from RNAcentral.
GUGGGGAAUAUUGGACAAUGGGCGCAAGCCUGAUCCAGCCAUACCGCGUGGGUGAAGAAGGCCUUCGGGUUGUAAAGCCCUUUUGUUGGGAAAGAAAUCCUGUCGGUUAAUACCUGGCGGGGAUGACGGUACCCAAAGAAUAAGCACCGGCUAACUUCGUGCCAGCAGCCGCGGUAAUACGAAGGGUGCAAGCGUUACUCGGAAUUACUGGGCGUAAAGCGUGCGUCGGUGGUGGUUUAAGUCCGUUGUGAAAGCCCUGGGCUUAACCUGGGAAUGGCAAUGGAUACUGAAUCACUAGAGUGUGGUAGAGGUAUGCGGAAUUUCUGGUGUAGCACUGAAAUGCGUAGAGAUCAAAAGGAACAUCCGUGGCGAAGGCGGCAUCCUGGGCCAACACUGACACUGAGGCACGAAAGCGUGGGGAGCAAACAGGAUUAGAUACCCUUGUAGUCC